Molecule: non-coding RNA, 156 nt
Filed under: Parabacteroides goldsteinii
Lineage: Bacteria; Pseudomonadati; Bacteroidota; Bacteroidia; Bacteroidales; Tannerellaceae
Source: RNAcentral
CGGAAAAGUGAUGAAAAGGGAAUCAGGUGAAAAUCCUGAACAGACCCGCUGCUGUAAGCUCCGCCAAAGUCGUUGAACACAACUCAAUCCACUGUUCGCAAUGAAUGGGAAGGACGUUCAAUGACGGAGUAAGUCAGAAGACCUGCCAGAAUCAGU